CCUACGGGAGGCUGCAGUGGGGAAUAUUGGACAAUGGGGGCAACCCUGAUCCAGCCAUGCCGCGUGUGUGAAGAAGGCCCUCGGGUUGUAAAGCACUUUCAGUGAGGAAGAACGCCUGGUGGUUAAUACCCAUCAGGAAAGACAUCACUCACAGAAGAAGCACCGGCUAACUCCGUGCCAGCAGCCGCGGUAAUACGGAGGGUGCGAGCGUUAAUCGGAAUUACUGGGCGUAAAGCGCGCGUAGGUGGCUUGAUAAGCCGGUUGUGAAAGCCCCGGGCUCAACCUGGGAACGGCAUCCGGAACUGUCAAGCUAGAGUGCAGGAGAGGAAGGUAGAAUUCCCGGUGUAGCGGUGAAACGCGUAGAGAUCGGGAGGAAUACCAGUGGCGAAGGCGGCCUUCUGGACUGACACUGACACUGAGGUGCGAAAGCGUGGGUAGCAAACAGGAUUAGAUACCCCGGUAGUC
This 465-nucleotide ribosomal RNA is filed under the name Vreelandella stevensii. Its description in RNAcentral is "partial 16S ribosomal RNA". It matches the Rfam family "Bacterial small subunit ribosomal RNA", at positions 338 to 795 of the family's 1533-position model. The record is from RNAcentral. Lineage: Bacteria; Pseudomonadati; Pseudomonadota; Gammaproteobacteria; Oceanospirillales; Halomonadaceae.